AUUGAACGCUGGCGGCAGGCCUAACACAUGCAAGUCGAGCGGAUGAAGGGAGCUUGCUCCUGGAUUCAGCGGCGGACGGGUGAGUAAUGCCUAGGAAUCUGCCUGGUAGUGGGGGAUAACGUCCGGAAACGGGCGCUAAUACCGCAUACGUCCUGAGGGAGAAAGUGGGGGAUCUUCGGACUUCACGCUAUCAGAUGAGCCUAGGUCGGAUUAGCUAGUUGGUGGGGUAAAGGCCUACCAAGGCGACGAUCCGUAACUGGUCUGAGAGGAUGAUCAGUCACAAUGGAACUGAGACACGGUCCAGACGCCUAAGGGAGGCAGCAGAGGGGAAUAUUGGACAAUGGGCGAAAGCCUGAUCCAGCCAUGCCGCGUGUGUGAAGAAGGUCUUCGGAUUGUAAAGAACUUUAAGUUGGGAGGAAGGGCAGUAAGUUAAUACCUUGCUGUUUUGACGUUACCAACAGAAUAAGCACCGGCUAACUUCGUG
This 484-nucleotide ribosomal RNA is filed under the name uncultured bacterium. RNAcentral's name for it is "partial 16S ribosomal RNA". It matches the Rfam family "Bacterial small subunit ribosomal RNA", at positions 30 to 507 of the family's 1533-position model. The record is from RNAcentral.